Molecule: ribosomal RNA, 446 nt
Filed under: uncultured bacterium
Lineage: Bacteria
Description: partial 16S ribosomal RNA
Rfam family: Bacterial small subunit ribosomal RNA
Source: RNAcentral
CCUACGGGAGGCAGCAGUAGGGAAUUUUCGGCAAUGGGGGGAACCCUGACCGAGCAACGCCGCGUGAACGAAGAAGUUAUUCGUAAUGUAAAGUUCUUUUAACAGGGAAGAAAGAGAAAUUUGACGGUACCUGAAGAAUAAGCUCCGGCUAACUACGUGCCAGCAGCCGCGGUAAUACGUAGGGAGCGAGCGUUAUCCGGAAUUAUUGGGCGAAAAGGGUGCGUAGAUGGCAUAGUAAGUCUUUUGUAAAAAUGCUGGGCUCAACCCAGUAGGGCAAAAGAUACUGCAAAGCUAGAGUAUGACAGAGGCAAGUGGAACUACAUGUGGAGCGGUAAAAUGCGUAAAUAUAUGUAAGAACACCAGUGGCGAAGGCGGCUUGCUGGGUCGAUACUGACAUUGAGGCACGAAAGCGUGGGGAGCAAACAGGAUUAGAUACCCCAGUAGUC